RNAcentral lists this ribosomal RNA (253 nucleotides) under uncultured bacterium. RNAcentral describes it as "partial 16S ribosomal RNA". It matches the Rfam family "Bacterial small subunit ribosomal RNA", at positions 524 to 776 of the family's 1533-position model. The record is from RNAcentral.
UACGCAGGGGGCUAGCGUUGCUCGGAAUUACUGGGCGUAAAGCGCACGUAGGCGGCUUCUUAAGUCGGUGGUGAAAUCCUGGAGCUCAACUCCAGAACUGCCUUCGAUACUGAGAAGCUCGAGUCCGGGAGAGGUGAGUGGAACUGCGAGUGUAGAGGUGAAAUUCGUAGAUAUUCGCAAGAACACCAGUGGCGAAGGCGGCUCACUGGCCCGGUACUGACGCUGAGGAGCGAAAGCGUGGGGAGCGAACAGG